UACGGAGGGGGCAAGCGUUGUUCGGAUUUACUGGGCGUAAAGGGCGCGUAGGCGGUUUUGUAAGUUACUUGUGAAAUCUAUGGGCUUAACCCAUAACUGCCAAGUAAUACUGCGAAACUCGAGUGCAGAAGGGGCAACUGGAAUUCUUGGUGUAGCGGUGAAAUGCGUAGAUAUCAAGAGGAACACCUGAGGCGAAGGCGGGUUGCUGGGCUGACACUGACGCUGAGGCGCGAAAGCUAGGGGAGCAAACAGG
RNAcentral lists this ribosomal RNA (253 nucleotides) under uncultured bacterium. RNAcentral's name for it is "partial 16S ribosomal RNA". It matches the Rfam family "Bacterial small subunit ribosomal RNA", at positions 524 to 776 of the family's 1533-position model. The record is from RNAcentral.